UACGUAGGCAGCGAGCGUUGUUCGGAGUUACUGGGCGUAAAGAGCGCGCAGGCGGUCGUACAAGUCGCGUGUGAAAGCCCCCGGCUCAACUGGGGAGGGUCACGCGAUACUGUUCGACUCGAAGGCAGGAGAGGGAAGUGGAAUUCCGAGUGUAGAGGUGAAAUUCGUAGAUAUUCGGAAGAACACCAGUGGCGAAGGCGACUUACUGGACGAUUGUUGACGCUGAGGUGCGAAAGCGUGGGGAGCAAACAGG
This 253-nucleotide ribosomal RNA is filed under the name uncultured bacterium. RNAcentral's name for it is "partial 16S ribosomal RNA". It matches the Rfam family "Bacterial small subunit ribosomal RNA", at positions 524 to 776 of the family's 1533-position model. The record is from RNAcentral.